This 258-nucleotide ribosomal RNA is filed under the name Anophryoides haemophila. Its description in RNAcentral is "partial Bacterial small subunit ribosomal RNA". It matches the Rfam family "Bacterial small subunit ribosomal RNA", at positions 11 to 283 of the family's 1533-position model. Lineage: Eukaryota; Ciliophora; Oligohymenophorea; Philasterida; Glauconematidae. The record is from RNAcentral.
GUUUGAUCCUGGCUCAGAUUGAACGCUGGCGGUAUGCCUAACACAUGCAAGUCGAACGAGGUAGCAAUACCUAGUGGCGGACGGGUGAGGAAUACGUAGGGAUCUGCCUUUAAGUGGGGGAUAACCCGGGGAAACCCGGAUUAAUACCGCAUGAUCUCGCAAGAGCAAAGUGGGGGAUCGCAAGACCUCACGCUUUUAGAGGAACCUACGUCGGAUUAGCUUGUUGGUGAGGUAAUGGCUCACCAAGGCGACGAUCAG